ACUCAAAGGAAUUGACGGGGGCCCGCACAAGCGGAGGAACAUGUGGUUUAAUUCGAUGAUACGCGAGGAACCUUACCCGGGCUCGAACGGCAGAGGAAUAUAUAAGAGAUUAUAUAGCCAUUACGGUCUUUGUCGAGGUGCUGCAUGGUUGUCGUCAGCUCGUGCCGUGAGGUGUCGGCUUAAGUGCCAUAACGAGCGCAACCCUUGUUGUCAGUUGCCAUCAGGUAAAGCUGGGGACUCUGGCAAGACUGCCACCGUAAGGUGUGAGGAAGGGGGGGAUGACGUCAAAUCAGCACGGCCCUUACGUCCGGGGCGACACACGUGUUACAAUGGGUGGUACAGAGGGGCGCUACACAGUGAUGUGAUGCCAAUCUCAAAAGCCACUCUCAGUUCGGAUUGGAGUCUGCAACCCGACUCCAUGAAGUUGGAUUCGCUAGUAAUCGCGCAUCAGCCAUGGCGCGGUGAAUACGUUCCCGGGCCUUGUACACACCGCCCGU
This 497-nucleotide ribosomal RNA is filed under the name uncultured bacterium. RNAcentral describes it as "bacterial SSU rRNA". It matches the Rfam family "Bacterial small subunit ribosomal RNA", at positions 899 to 1397 of the family's 1533-position model. The record is from RNAcentral.